Molecule: ribosomal RNA, 523 nt
Filed under: bacterium A4T_VP5_D12
Lineage: Bacteria
Description: bacterial SSU rRNA
Rfam family: Bacterial small subunit ribosomal RNA
Source: RNAcentral
CUAUUCGGGCGGCUGCCGUGGGGAAUAUUGCUCAAUGGGCCCNAGCCUGAUGCAGCCAUGCCGCGUGUGUGAAGAAGGCCUUAGGGUUGUAAAGCACUUUCACUAAGGAGGAAAGGUUAGUACUUAAUACCUGCUACCUGUGACGAUACUUACAGAAGAAGCACCGGCUAACUCCGUGCCAGCAGCCGCGGUAAUACGGAGGGUGCGAGCGUUAAUCGAAAUUACUGGGCGUAAAGCGUACGCACGCGGUUUGUUAACCGAGAUGUGAAAGCCCCGGGCUCAACCUGGGAACUGUAUUUCGAACUGCCAAACUAUACUAUGAUAGAGGGUGGUAGAAUUUCAGGUGUAGCGUCGAAAUGCAUAUAGAUCUGAGGGAAUACCGAUGGCGAAGGCAGCCACCUGGGCCCAUACUGACGCUCAUGUACAACAGCGUGGGUAGCAAACGGGAAUAGAUACCCCGGUAGUCCUCGCCCUAAUCGAUGUCUACUACGAGCUGGGGUCUUCGGACCAAUUUUCCAAGCUA